UAGCUGGGUAGCUAUGUGUGGACGGGAUAAGUGCUGAAAGCAUCUAAGCAUGAAGCCCCCCUCAAGAUGAGAUUUCCCAACUUCGGUUAUAAGAUCCCUCAAAGAUGAUGAGGUUAAUAGGUUCGAGGUGGAAGCAUGGUGACAUGUGGAGCUGACGAAUACUAAUCGAUCGAAGACUUAAUCAA
RNAcentral lists this ribosomal RNA (185 nucleotides) under Staphylococcus aureus. RNAcentral describes it as "partial 23S ribosomal RNA". It matches the Rfam family "Bacterial large subunit ribosomal RNA", at positions 2738 to 2925 of the family's 2925-position model. The record is from RNAcentral. Lineage: Bacteria; Bacillati; Bacillota; Bacilli; Caryophanales; Staphylococcaceae.